UACGUAGGGUGCAAGCGUUAAUCGGAAUUACUGGGCGUAAAGCGUGCGCAGGCGGUUUUGUAAGUUUGUCGUGAAAUCCCCGGGCUCAACCUGGGAAUUGCGAUGAAGACUGCAAGGCUAGAAUCUGGCAGAGGGGGGUAGAAUUCCACGUGUAGCAGUGAAAUGCGUAGAGAUGUGGAGGAACACCGAUGGCGAAGGCAGCCCCCUGGGUCAAGAUUGACGCUCAUGCACGAAAGCGUGGGGAGCAAACGAAGG
Molecule: ribosomal RNA, 255 nt
Filed under: uncultured bacterium
Lineage: Bacteria
Description: partial 16S ribosomal RNA
Rfam family: Bacterial small subunit ribosomal RNA
Source: RNAcentral